Molecule: ribosomal RNA, 201 nt
Filed under: Bacillus thuringiensis
Lineage: Bacteria; Bacillati; Bacillota; Bacilli; Caryophanales; Bacillaceae
Description: partial 16S ribosomal RNA
Rfam family: Bacterial small subunit ribosomal RNA
Source: RNAcentral
GUUUCUUAUUUCUGAUGUGAAACCCCCCGGCCCUCCCGGGGAGGGUCUUUGGAAACGGGGAGACUUGAUUGCCCAUAAAGAAAGUGGAAUUCCCUGUGUAGCGGGGAAAUGCGUAAAGAUAUGGAGGAACACCAGUGGCGAGGGCGACUUUCUGUUCUGUAACUGACACUGAGGCGCGAAAGCGUGGGGAGCAAACAGGAU